Alligator sinensis (Chinese alligator) is the source of this 632-nucleotide long non-coding RNA. RefSeq lists it as uncharacterized. The transcript is spliced from 3 exons. The record is from RefSeq and is a predicted model, not a curated record. NCBI's taxonomy places the organism in Eukaryota, Metazoa, Chordata, Crocodylia, Alligatoridae.
CUUCAAGGUGCUGCUCUCUUUGCAAACAACUACUCAAACACACUACACCUUUUUGUUUUUGCAGCUUUAUCACCUAGAAAUCCCUUUCAGCGAAGAGACCUGAGACGCAGAUCUCUCCAAACAGUCCUGCCAUGUUACUGUAUUUUUUAAGUGAUGAUGGAACCAUGUUCAGAGGUGACAUCCCUAGAGGUGUAAGUUUCACUUUACAUCUCAAAUAACUUAAGCAAGCAUGAUCAUACCUAUUUUACAGAGGAAGAAACCUAAGGUACAAGAAGUUAUGCUUAUAUUGAUGAGACUUAUGCAGGAUCACACAUUCAUGCAGAGCUUAGCUCUCUUGAAUCUUGGUCCUCACCACUAUGCAGUGGACCAUAUUUUAUCAGGGCACUUCGUCUGUGAUGGAAGACCUCUACCAUGAGACCUGAAAGACCUGACCUUCAAUGUGACUGAUCUGAUUGAAACAGCAGGAUGAACUAUCAUACCUUAAGAAAACAAGGUGGCCAGGGAUAAAGCCAUGCCACAGAGCAUGCAGUGAACUCCACUUGCCAGAAAACACUGGUAAAUUCAACACACUUCCCAGAAGUACAACACUCAAAGAAAACCCUCACAAAGAUUCCAAAGUACUCACUGGGUUC